RNAcentral lists this ribosomal RNA (119 nucleotides) under Aegilops tauschii subsp. strangulata. Lineage: Eukaryota; Viridiplantae; Streptophyta; Magnoliopsida; Poales; Poaceae. The record is from RNAcentral.
GGAUGCGAUCAUAGCAGCACUAAAGCACCGGAUCCCAUCAGAACUCCGAAGUUAAGCGUGCUUGGGCGAGAGUAGUACUUGGAUGGGUGACCUCCUGGGAAGUCCUCGUGUUGCAUUCC